Molecule: ribosomal RNA, 465 nt
Filed under: Nucleolaria granulata
Lineage: Eukaryota; Metazoa; Mollusca; Gastropoda; Littorinimorpha; Cypraeidae
Description: partial 16S large subunit ribosomal RNA
Rfam family: Bacterial large subunit ribosomal RNA
Source: RNAcentral
GAGUCGGACCUGCCCAGUGAAUUAACUUUUCAACGGCCGCGGUACUCUGACCGUGCAAAGGUAGCAUAAUCAUUUGCCCUAUAAUUGAGGGCUAGUAUGAAUGGUUUGACGUGAGCAAAGCUGUCUCUGUAUAAAUUUUUAGAAUUUGAUUUUUAGGUGAAGAAACCUAAAUUUAAUUGAUAGACAAGAAGACCCUAUUGAGCUUUAAAAGAGUAGAUAGAAAAUAAUAUAUAAUUCUAAAUAUUAAUCUGUCUUAAAUUUUGGUUGGGGCGACUAAGGAACAAACAAAGCUUCUUUACUAUUUUAGUACCCGCAAGUCAUGAUCCAGGAAUCCUGAUUAAUGAAAUUAGUUACCAUAGGGAUAACAGCAUAAUUUUCUUUGAGAGUCCUUAUCGAAAAGAAAGUUUGUGACCUCGAUGUUGGACUAGAAUAUCCUGAAGAUGCAGCAGUCUUUAAGGGUUGGUC